UCACGAAAGUGGAUUGUACUAGAAGUCUGCGCGCUAACCCGCAAGGGAGGCAGCGGCCCAAGGUAUGAUUCAUGAUUGGGGGUG
Molecule: ribosomal RNA, 84 nt
Filed under: uncultured bacterium
Lineage: Bacteria
Description: partial 16S ribosomal RNA
Source: RNAcentral